Molecule: ribosomal RNA, 258 nt
Filed under: uncultured bacterium
Lineage: Bacteria
Description: partial 16S ribosomal RNA
Rfam family: Bacterial small subunit ribosomal RNA
Source: RNAcentral
GAGAAGCGAAACUGCGAAGUGGAGCAAAACUCUAAAAAAACAAUCUCAGUUCAGAUUGCAGGCUGCAACUCGCCUGCAUGAAGUCGGAAUUGCUAGUAAUCGUAGGUCAGCAUACUACGGUGAAUACGUUCCCGGGCCUUGUACACACCGCCCGUCAAACCAUGAGAGUUGGCAACACCCGAAGUCGGUAGUCUAACCGCAAGGAGGACGCCGCCGAAGGUGGGGUUGAUGAUUAGGGUUAAGUCGUAACAAGGUACC